RNAcentral lists this unclassified non-coding RNA (1569 nucleotides) under Hevea brasiliensis (rubber tree). Lineage: Eukaryota; Viridiplantae; Streptophyta; Magnoliopsida; Malpighiales; Euphorbiaceae. The record is from RNAcentral.
AUGACAUCAAAUUUGGUCCCAAAGAACUCCGGGGAGAGCUCCUGCUCAUGCAGGUCACAUUUGUAAUACAUGGGAGAUGAAGAAGAUUUGACAACAAUCUCAUCCUUCCUUUGAAUAAGUUCUCGAAGCUUGGGAUAGUCCUCAAUAACACUAGUAAGCUCUAGUUCCCUGAUGAAAUUUUGAGGCCUCGUGCCAGUGUCUACAAAAUUUUGGGAAUAAUCAUUCUGCUCACCCCUAGAAGGAGCUUUUCCAGGUGGCGCAUUAGUUCGAGAAGGCACCCAACCUGCAUUAGCUUUAUCUUUAACCUGUCCACGACCUCCUGGUAUUAGUGCAUUAAAAUUUGAACCAGACAUGCUAGGUGGUGUCCCUCUUCCAGGGCCUAGUUGAUUAAAAUACAUUGCAUGAUUUGGCAGAUUCCCCAAAUUAGGGGGAAAUCCAGGUCCCGGCAGAACAGGUGGAAGUCCAGGUGGAACACCUAGCAUAUUCAUCUCAACACCUCGGGCUCCAGGCCAAACCAGAGGAGAUGAAAACGGAGGAAUGAAAGGGGACAUAGGUGGACCUGGAGCAGGUGACAUAUUAGGAGCUAAAGAUUGCACAGAUCCAGGCGACGGCAUUCCAAGUGGUCCAAAAGGUGAUCCCAUCAUUGGCAUUGGAGGUCCGAAUUGGUGGACAUCCCUUCCUGUAGGCCUCCCUCUUCCUCCUCUACCAACCCUACCUCCUUUAGAACCUAUUGGGACAGAUCUAUUGAAGGAAGGCGGUUCCUGGUUUACAUAUGAAGGUUCUGAACUGGAAGUUUGGCCCCAGGCAGAUUGAAUAGAUGCAUCUCCUUUCUGACCCCUUGCUUCAGUCUCAUCCUUAUUUGAACUGUCACCUGAUGUAUCCCUUAAAUCUGGACCAGAUUGGCCUGACCAAUUCAUGUUUCUUCCCCUGCCUUCCCUGGCAUAGUUCUCAUCAUCUGGAAGUGAUUUUGCAUCAGAACUCUGAUUAACUUCAGUUGUUCUUGCUGCAGAAGAUAUGGCCUCCUCCCUACCAUAGUCAAAUGGCCUUGUUUGGAUCUCUAUGACAUCAUAAUUGUCAUUUGAAAUUCCAUAUUUUGAUGAAGUUUUCAAGGCUUCAGUCCUAUUUCCAUCUUUUCUACCACCAGAACGAGGCCUUUCAUUGUCAAUCCAACCACGUCUGGGUAUUUCCCACUCUCUGCCAUGUUCGUAAGGUGUCUCGCCUUCUUUCAUUUCCUUGUCAACAAAGCUCCCUUGCCUUCUUUUCCACCCAUCUUUGGAACCAUCCCGAAUUCUGUUUCUAUCACUCCUGCCGUCAUCCCUUCCUUUUGAUUUAUCAUCUCUCACACCAUCUUUUUCUUGUUCUUUCCUCCUGAAGGUAUCUCGUUUUUCAUAUUCCAUCUCAACGCUUUCUGAGUCGUAACGGCGCCUUCCACUUCUCUCAGGUGUUCUGGACCUAUCAGAGGAAUCCAUCUCUCUCCUUUUUCUUUCUCGCACCAAUGAGCCGCCGUCAUCACCUGCUACCAUAGACCUUUCAUGACUUUCAGCCGUGUGAUGAGUUGUGGCACUUCUU